CGAGUAGGUGGCCAUCUAAGUCAGACGUGAAACUCCCCCGGCUUAACCUGGGAACUGCGUCUGAUACUGGACGGCUUGAGUAUGGGAGAGGGAUGUAGAAUUCCAGGUGUAGCGGUGAAAUGCGUAGAUAUCUGGAGGAAUACCGGUGGCGAAGGCGGCAUCCUGGACCAUUACUGACACUGAACCGCGAAAGGCUAGGGAGCAAACG
This 208-nucleotide ribosomal RNA is filed under the name uncultured bacterium. RNAcentral's name for it is "partial 16S ribosomal RNA". It matches the Rfam family "Bacterial small subunit ribosomal RNA", at positions 568 to 774 of the family's 1533-position model. The record is from RNAcentral.